UGAGCUGCUUCUAUCAGUUAGCGGCGGACGGGUGAGUAACACGUGGGUAACCUGCCUGUAAGAUGGGGAUAACUCCGGGGAAAACCGGAGCUAAUACCGAAUAACACUUUCGCUCGCAUGAGCGGAUGUUAAAAGACGGUUUCGGCUGUCACUUACAGAUGGACCCGCGGCGCAUUAGCUAGUUGGUGAGGUAACGGCUCACCAAGGCGACGAUGCGUAGCCGACCUGAGAGGGUGAUCGGCCACACUGGGACUGAGACACGGCCCAGACUCCUACGGGAGGCAGCAGUGGUCU
This 294-nucleotide ribosomal RNA is filed under the name Bacillus sp. NS1. Its description in RNAcentral is "partial 16S ribosomal RNA". It matches the Rfam family "Bacterial small subunit ribosomal RNA", at positions 75 to 357 of the family's 1533-position model. Lineage: Bacteria; Bacillati; Bacillota; Bacilli; Caryophanales; Bacillaceae. The record is from RNAcentral.